ACGGAAGGCAGCAGUGAGGAAUAUUGGUCAAUGGGCGGAAGCCUGAACCAGCCAAGUCGCGUGAAGGAUGAAGGUAUUAUGUAUUGUAAACUUCUUUAGCAGCAGAGUAAUAAGGGGGUCGUGACCCCCGAUGCAAGUAUGCUGAAAAUAAGGAUCGGCUAACUCCGUGCCAGCAGCCGCGGUAAUACGGAGGAUCCGAGCGUUAUCCGGAUUUAUUGGGUCUAAAGGGUGCGCAGGCGGUUUUUUAAGUCAGUGGUUAAAUCGUGAGGCUCAACCUCAUCACGCCAUUGAUACUGGAAGACUUGAUUGCGGUUGAGGUUGGCGGAAUUCGUCGUGUAGCGGUGAAAUGCAUAGAUAUGACGAAGAACACCGAUUGCGUAGGCAGCUGACCAAGCCGUAAAUGACGCUCAUGCACGAAAGUGCGGGGAUCGAACAGGAUUAGAUACCCUGGUA
Molecule: ribosomal RNA, 453 nt
Filed under: uncultured Porphyromonadaceae bacterium
Lineage: Bacteria; Pseudomonadati; Bacteroidota; Bacteroidia; Bacteroidales; Porphyromonadaceae
Description: partial 16S ribosomal RNA
Rfam family: Bacterial small subunit ribosomal RNA
Source: RNAcentral